RNAcentral lists this ribosomal RNA (487 nucleotides) under uncultured bacterium. RNAcentral describes it as "bacterial SSU rRNA". It matches the Rfam family "Bacterial small subunit ribosomal RNA", at positions 43 to 524 of the family's 1533-position model. The record is from RNAcentral.
CAGGCCUAACACAUGCAAGUCGAGCGGGGAAGGUUGCUUCGGUAACUGACCUAGCGGCGGACGGGUGAGUAAUGCUUAGGAAUCUGCCAUUUAGUGGGGGACAACAUUCCGAAAGGAAUGCUAAUACCGCAUACGUCCUACGGGAGAAAGCAGGGGAUCUUCGGACCUUGCGCUAAAUGAUGAGCCUAAGUCGGAUUAGCUAGUUGGUGGGGUAAAGGCCUACCAAGGCGACGAUCUGUAGCGGGUCUGAGAGGAUGAUCCGCCACACUGGGACUGAGACACGGCCCAGACUCCUACGGGAGGCAGCAGUGGGGAAUAUUGGACAAUGGGCGCAAGCCUGAUCCAGCCAUGCCGCGUGUGUGAAGAAGGCCUUUUGGUUGUAAAGCACUUUAAGCGAGGAGGAGGCUCUCUUAGUUAAUACCUAAGAUGAGUGGACGUUACUCGCAGAAUAAGCACCGGCUAACUCUGUGCCAGCAGCCGCGGUAAU